UNGGAAUCACUGGGCGUAAAGGACGCGUNGGCGGAUUAUCAAGUCUCUUGUGAANUCCUAUGGCUUAACCAUAGAACUGCUUGGGAAACUGAUAAUCUAGAGUGAGGGAGAGGCAGAUGGAAUUGGUGGUGUAGGGGUAAAAUCCGUAGAGAUCACCAGGAAUACCCAUUGCGAAGGCGAUCUGCUGGAACUCAACUGACGCUAAUGCGUGAAAGCGUGGGGAGCAAACAGGAUUAGAUACCCUGGUAGUCCACGCCCUAAACGAUGUAUACUAGUUGUUGNUAAGCUAGUCUUGGCAGUAAUGCACCUAACGGAUUAAGUAUACCGCCUGGGGAGUACGGUCGCAAGAUUAAAACUCAAAGGAAUAGACGGGGACCCGCACAAGCGGUGGAGCAUGUGGUUUAAUUCGAAGAUACGCGAAGAACCUUACCCGGACUUGAUAUCUAACAAAUCAUCUAGAGAUAGAAGAGUGUCUGCUUGCAGAAAUGUUAAGACAGGUGCUGCACGGCUGUCGUCAGCUCGUGUCGUGAGAUGUUGGGUUAAGUCCCGCAACGAGCGCAACCCACGUCAUUAGUUGCUAACAGUUCGGCUGAGCACUCUAAUGAGACUGCCUUCGUAAGGAGGAGGAAGGUGUGGACGACGUCAAGUCAUCAUGGCCCUUAUGUCCGGGGCGACACACGUGCUACAAUGGCAUAUACAAUGAGAAGCAAUAUCGCGAGAUGGAGCAAAUCUAUAAAAUAUGUCCCAGUUCGGAUUGGAGUCUGCAACUCGACUCCAUGGAGCCGGAAUCGCUAGUAAUCGUAGAUCAGCCAUGCUACGGUGAAUACGUUCCCGGGUCUUGUACUCACCGCCCGUCACACCAUGGGAGUUGAU
Molecule: ribosomal RNA, 873 nt
Filed under: uncultured bacterium
Lineage: Bacteria
Description: bacterial SSU rRNA
Rfam family: Bacterial small subunit ribosomal RNA
Source: RNAcentral